This 253-nucleotide ribosomal RNA is filed under the name uncultured bacterium. RNAcentral describes it as "partial 16S ribosomal RNA". It matches the Rfam family "Bacterial small subunit ribosomal RNA", at positions 524 to 776 of the family's 1533-position model. The record is from RNAcentral.
GACGUAGGGGACGAGCGUUGUCCGGAUUUAUUGGGCGUAAAGCGCGCGUAGGCGGCUUGGAAAGUCGGAUGUGAAAAUCCGGGGCUCAACCCCGGACCUGCAUCCGAUACUUCCAGGCUAGAGGUAGGUAGGGGAGAUCGGAAUUCCUGGUGUAGCGGUGAAAUGCGCAGAUAUCAGGAGGAACACCGGUGGCGAAGGCGGAUCUCUGGGCCUUACCUGACGCUGAGGCGCGAAAGCCAGGGGAGCAAACGGG